Cornus florida is the source of this 336-nucleotide long non-coding RNA. RefSeq lists it as uncharacterized. The transcript has 3 exons. The record is from RefSeq and is a predicted model, not a curated record. Lineage: Eukaryota; Viridiplantae; Streptophyta; Magnoliopsida; Cornales; Cornaceae.
GUGAGCUUGUCAAGUGUCUAUUUAAAGAGAUGAUUAAUUGGUAUGGGGAUAGAAAUCUCAAUUUUUUUCCCUUGUUUAUUGAUGAUAUACAAAUAGCAGUAACUCCUCCUUCUAAGUCAUGAAUGAAGUCUUGUUGAGACAAAGGACCGUGCUCGUUCCGUUGAUUACUCUAUUGCACCUGUUGAAGCAGCUAUUGAAUCAGCUUUUGUUUUGUCAAUUUUUUGGCAAAAAUUCUGAUUUCCAGGUAAGCCGUUGAUGGUGAAAGCAUCAGACUUAUUAGGAUCGCCUCCAGAUGCAAGUGCUGAUUCAAUUACCUCCAUCACAUCUCCCUUGUAC